Molecule: ribosomal RNA, 449 nt
Filed under: uncultured bacterium
Lineage: Bacteria
Description: partial 16S ribosomal RNA
Rfam family: Bacterial small subunit ribosomal RNA
Source: RNAcentral
UCCCAGACUCCUACGGGAGGCAGCAGUGGGGAAUAUUGCACAAUGGGGGGAACCCUGAUGCAGCGACGCCGCGUGGGUGAAGGAGUAUUUCGGUAUGUAAAGCCCUAUCAGCAGGGAAGAACAAUGACGGUACCUGACUAAGAAGCACCGGCUAAAUACGUGCCAGCAGCCGCGGUAAUACGUAUGGUGCAAGCGUUAUCCGGAUUUACUGGGUGUAAAGGGAGCGCAGGCGGCGCGUUAAGCCUGGUGUGAAAGCCCGCGGCCCAACCGCGGGACUGCAUUGGGAACUGGCGCGCUGGAGUGCCGGAGGGGUAGGCGGAAUUCCUAGUGUAGCGGUGAAAUCCGUAGAUAUUAGAAGGAACACCAAUAGCGUAGGCAGGUUGCUGGGACGGUUCUGACACUAAGGCGCGAAAGCGUAGGGAGCAAACGGGAUUAGAUACCCUGGUAAA